GCAGCGGAGCGUGUGGUUUAAUUCGUUGCUACACGAAGAACCUUUACCUGGGUUUUGACAUAUAGGUUGUAGGGAACUGAAAAGGGACCGACCCUUCGGGGAGCCUAUACAGGUUGUUGCAUGGCUGUCGUCAGCUCGUGUCGUGAGAUGUUCGGUUAAGUCCGCUAACGAGCGCAACCCUCGUCGUAUGUUAUAUGUGUCAUACGAGACUGCCGGUAAAAGCCGGAGGAAGGUGAGGAUGAUGUCAAGUCAGCAUGACCUUUAUAUCCAGGGCUACACACACGCUACAAUGGUCUGUACAAUGGGUAGCCAAGCCGCGAGGCGGAGCCAAUCCUGAAAGCAGGCCUCAGUUCAGAUUGCAGUCUGCAACUCGACUGCAUGAAGCCGGAGUUGCUAGUAACCGCAGGUCAGCAAUACUGCGGUGAAUACGUUCCCGGGUCUU
RNAcentral lists this ribosomal RNA (442 nucleotides) under uncultured Anaerolineaceae bacterium. Its description in RNAcentral is "bacterial SSU rRNA". It matches the Rfam family "Bacterial small subunit ribosomal RNA", at positions 929 to 1382 of the family's 1533-position model. The record is from RNAcentral. Lineage: Bacteria; Bacillati; Chloroflexota; Anaerolineae; Anaerolineales; Anaerolineaceae.